GAUGAACGCUGGCGGCGUGCCUAAUACAUGCAAGUCGAGCGAACAGACGAGGAGCUUGCUCCUUUGACGUUAGCGGCGGACGGGUGAGUAACACGUAGGUAACCUACCUAUAAGACUGGGAUAACUUCGGGAAACCGGAGCUAAUACCGGAUAAUAUUUCGAACCGCAUGGUUCGAUAGUGAAAGAUGGCUUUGCUAUCACUUAUAGAUGGACCUGCGCCGUAUUAGCUAGUUGGUAAGGUAACGGCUUACCAAGGCAACGAUACGUAGCCGACCUGAGAGUGGGAUCGGCCACACUGGAACUGAGACACGGUCCAGACUCCUACGGGAGGCAGCAGUAGGGAAUCUUCCGCAAUGGGCGAAAGCCUGACGGAGCAACGCCGCGUGAGUGAUGAAGGUCUUCGGAUCGUAAAACUCUGUUAUUAGGGAAGAACAAACGUGUAAGUAACUGUGCACGUCUUGACGGUACCUAAUCAGAAAGCCACGGCUAACUACGUG
RNAcentral lists this ribosomal RNA (497 nucleotides) under uncultured bacterium. RNAcentral's name for it is "partial 16S ribosomal RNA". It matches the Rfam family "Bacterial small subunit ribosomal RNA", at positions 28 to 507 of the family's 1533-position model. The record is from RNAcentral.